Molecule: ribosomal RNA, 467 nt
Filed under: uncultured bacterium
Lineage: Bacteria
Description: partial 16S ribosomal RNA
Rfam family: Bacterial small subunit ribosomal RNA
Source: RNAcentral
GACGAACGCUGGCGGCGUGCUUAACACAUGCAAGUCGAACGGAAAGGCCUCUUUCGGGGGGUACUCGAGUGGCGAACGGGUGAGUAACACGUGAGUAACCUGCCCUUGACUUUGGGAUAACUUCAGGAAACUGGGGCUAAUACCGGCUAGGAGCUCCUGCUGCAUGGUGGGGGUUGGAAAGUUUCGGCGGUUGGGGAUGGACUCGCGGCUUAUCAGCUUGUUGGUGGGGUAGUGGCUUACCAAGGCUUUGACGGGUAGCCGGCCUGAGAGGGUGACCGGCCACAUUGGGACUGAGAUGCGGCCCAGACUCCGACGGGAGGCAGCAGUGGGGAAGAUUGCACAAUGGGUGGAAGCCUGAUGCAGCAACGCCGUGUGCGGGAUGACGGCCUUCGGGUUGUAAACCGCUUUCGCUCAUGACGAAGCUUUGUGUGACGGUAGUGGGUAAAGAAGCACCGGCUAACUACGUG